Molecule: transfer RNA, 72 nt
Filed under: Pedobacter sp. Leaf216
Lineage: Bacteria; Pseudomonadati; Bacteroidota; Sphingobacteriia; Sphingobacteriales; Sphingobacteriaceae
Description: tRNA-Asn
Source: RNAcentral
AUAUUGUUAGCAAUGGGCGGCGUCCGUCUGUUAAUCAGAGGGUCGCUGGUUCGAGCCCAGCAGAGGGAGCCA